This 433-nucleotide ribosomal RNA is filed under the name uncultured bacterium. Its description in RNAcentral is "partial 16S ribosomal RNA". It matches the Rfam family "Bacterial small subunit ribosomal RNA", at positions 29 to 507 of the family's 1533-position model. The record is from RNAcentral.
AACGAACGCUGGCGGCAGGCCUAACACAUGCAAGUCGAGCGAAGACAUCGGUCCUAGCGGCGGACGGGGGAGCAACGCGGGGGAACGUGCCCAUGGCUCUGGAAUAGCCCUGGGAAAAUGGGAGUAAUACGGGAGGAGCUAUUUGGGGGAAAGAUUUAUCGGCGAAGGAUCGGCUCGCGUUGGAUUAGGUAGUUGGUGGGGUAAUGGCCUACCAAGCGGACGUUCCAUAGCGGGUUUGAGAGGAUGGUCAGCCACACUGGGGCUGGGACACGGUCCGGACUCCUACGGGAUGCAGCAGUGGGUAAUCUUAGACUAUGGGGUGAACCCUGAACUAGUCAUGCCGGGUAAGCACUGAAGGCCUUAAGGUUGUGAAGCUAUUUCAGCUCGUAAUAUAAUGACGGUACCAACAGAAGAAGCCCCGGCUAACUCCGUG